RNAcentral lists this ribosomal RNA (254 nucleotides) under uncultured bacterium. Its description in RNAcentral is "partial 16S ribosomal RNA". It matches the Rfam family "Bacterial small subunit ribosomal RNA", at positions 524 to 776 of the family's 1533-position model. The record is from RNAcentral.
UACGUAGGGGGCAAGCGUUGUCCGGAUUUAUUGGGCGUAAAGAGCGUGUAGGCGGUCAGGUAGGUCCGUUGUGAAAACUCGAGGCUCAACCUCGAGACGCCGAUGGAAACCAUCUGACUAGAGUCCGGAAGAGGAGAGUGGAAUUCCUGGUGUAGCGGUGAAAUGCGCAGAAUAUCAGGAAGAACACCCGUGGCUAAGGCGGCUCUCUAGUACGGUACUGACGCUGAGACGCGAAAGCGUGGGGAGCGAACAGG